RNAcentral lists this ribosomal RNA (472 nucleotides) under uncultured bacterium. RNAcentral describes it as "bacterial SSU rRNA". It matches the Rfam family "Bacterial small subunit ribosomal RNA", at positions 917 to 1382 of the family's 1533-position model. The record is from RNAcentral.
GGGCCCGCACAAGCGGUGGAGCAUGUGGUUUAAUACGUCACUAACCGUAGAACCUUACCCAGGCUUGACAUCUGGAGUAAGUCCAUGAAAGUGGCACCCCUGUAUGGUAACAUACAGCUCCAAGACAGGUGUUGCAUGGCUGUCGUCAGCUCGUGUCGUGAGAUGUUGGGUUAAGUCCCGCAACGAGCGCAACCCUCAUUCCAUGUUGCCAGCGUAAAGUCGGGAACUCUUGGAAAACUGCCCGUGUAAGCGGGAGGAAGGUGGGGAUGACGUCAAGUCAGCAUGGCCCUUACGCCUGGGGCUACACACAUGCUACAAUGGACGUGAACAAAGGGCAGCGAUACCGCGAGGUGGAGCUAAUCUCACAAACACGUUCUCAGUUCGGAUUGCAGUCUGCAACUCGACUGCAUGAAGUCGGAAUCGCUAGUAACCGCAGGUCAGCUAAACUGCGGUGAAUACGUUCCCGGGCCUU